UUUGCCCUACGGGACGCAGCAGUGGGGAAUAUUGCACAAUGGGGGAAACCCUGAUGCAGCAACGCCGCGUGAAGGAAGACGGUUUUCGGAUUGUAAACUUCUGUUCUUAGUGAAGAAGAAUGACGGUAGCUAAGGAGCAAGCCACGGCUAACUACGUGCCAGCAGCCGCGGUAAUACGUAGGUGGCAAGCGUUGUCCGGAAUUACUGGGUGUAAAGGGCGUGUAGGCGGGAAAGCAAAUCAGAUGUGAAAACCAUGGGCUCAACCUGUGGCCUUCAUUUGAAACUGUUUUUCUUGAGUACUGGGG
This 305-nucleotide ribosomal RNA is filed under the name uncultured bacterium. Its description in RNAcentral is "bacterial SSU rRNA". It matches the Rfam family "Bacterial small subunit ribosomal RNA", at positions 333 to 654 of the family's 1533-position model. The record is from RNAcentral.